AACUUUUAGAGGAUGAUAGAUAUCCGUUGGUCUUAGGAAUCAAAAAU
This 47-nucleotide transfer RNA is filed under the name Muntiacus muntjak annamensis. RNAcentral's name for it is "partial tRNA-Leu". RNAcentral also lists the same sequence under 1 other name. Lineage: Eukaryota; Metazoa; Chordata; Mammalia; Artiodactyla; Cervidae. The record is from RNAcentral.